RNAcentral lists this long non-coding RNA (43884 nucleotides) under Prunus persica (peach). Its description in RNAcentral is "long non-coding RNA (PPER_LNC002347)". The record is from RNAcentral. Lineage: Eukaryota; Viridiplantae; Streptophyta; Magnoliopsida; Rosales; Rosaceae.
AUUGCGGUAUGCACUCUCAGUGUAGAGGCGGUAACAUUUCCCAGGGCCUGUACGCCCAGCACGCCCAGCUCGUUGCUUAGCUGAUGCUUGGGAAAUUGGAGUUAUGACCAGUGAAUCUAGCCCCUGCUUUGGGUUAUAAACAUUUUGCUUUGCAAAACCAGGAUCAAUGACAUAAAAUAUCCCAUCAAUGGUCAGUGAUGCCUCAGCAAUAUUAGUAGCCACAACUACUUUCCUCUUACCUGGUGGGGCAGGAUCAAAUAUCCUUGACUGCAUUUCACUAGGAAGGGCACUAUACACUGGUAGGAUAAUCAACUCAGGGACAUUUUUACCAAGACCUUUCAUCCUCUCAUAAAGAGACUGGCAUGCAAAAUCAAUCUCUUCUUGUCCAGUCAAGAAAAGAAGGAUGUCACCUUCAGGUUCUGUCAAGUGUAUUUGUAGAACAGUUAUUAGAGAUGCAUCAAGGUAGUCGCUUUCCGGCUGUUUAGUGUAGAGUAUCUCUACAGGAAAAGUUCUCCCAGGGAUAGUGAAGAUGUUACAGUUAAAGAAAUAACCGGAAAACUUCUCCGCAUCCAAGGUAGCAGAUGUGACAAUCAAACGAAGGUCUGGUCUCCGCUUCACAAGCUUCUUCAGUAGUCCAAAAAGAACAUCUGUGUGGAUUGUCCUCUCAUGAGCUUCAUCAAGCAUGACCACAGAAUACUGAGAAAGGUUCUCAUCAAUCAAAAUCUCCCUAAGAAGCAUACCAUCAGUCAUGUACUUGAUGACAGUGUCUGGACCAGUGCAAUCCUCAAAACGAAUUGCAUAGCCGACUUCCUCUCCUAAACGACAACCAAACUCUUCAGCAACCCUCUUGGCCACAGACAUAGCAGCCACCCUACGUGGCUGUGUACAACCAAUCUUACCCAUUGUCGUGUAACCCGCUUCUGCAAGAUACUGCGUUACCUGUGUUGUCUUACCCGAACCAGUCUCACCAAUGACGACAAGCACUUGGUUCUCAUGCACCGCUGCAAUCAAUUCUUUCUUCAGCUUGUAGAUAGGCAAGCUCUGCCUCUGUUCCUGGAUUGAGAGUUUUGACCUCUGCCCAAAACUGAUAGUUUUCCCAAAAGCAUCCUUCUUCCACUCAGGCAUAUCAUAUGCUGACAAACCAACACCUCUAAGUUCUUGUGCAAGAUGCCUCUCACCAGUCUCUGGCAUUGGAUCUUCCCAGGGACGAUUGAGAUCCUUUGGGAUAGAAUCCAACAUGGUUCUCUGCUGCUGCUCACGCACUUCUCUACGCUCCUUAAUGAGUGCGGACUGAAGUGCAGCUGCACGACCCAGUGACCCUUCUGGAUUCUUAAAGAUUUUCACAGGUGACAUAUCAACAGAAUACCUGCUCUGUCCAUUUAAAAAGGCUGGCUCGUCCUCAUUGAGCUCAAUCUCAAGCUCUUCCUCAGCUCCCUCUUCUUGAUAAAGCAUCCCAUCGGUUUCCUCAUCAUACAUAGGAUACUCUGUAACACCCAAAACACCUGAGGCAAUCAACUGUUUGGCUUCCCACUUCUCUGGCGAGCUCAUUCUCUUCAAUGGCCGACGUGAUGGGCCAACAUCAUCCUCUUCCACAAUCCUAAUCCCAGAAAGACCAGUCCUAGUCACAGGUCCAUCCUUUGAAAAAGAUGGGUUCGUCCUAAGAGCAUCAUCCUCUGAGCUCUUCUUCAAGGGGAGCAAAUCCUUCCCUGUAUGUUGAUCAACAUCCCUCAUUGAAAGGCUCAACUUCUGACCUGAAAUUGAAAUCACCUUCACAUAAACUUCCUGAUCCCUCUUCACCACAUCCUUAGCAUUGCUAAUUCGCCUAGUUGCCAUCUGUGAAACGUGAACCAGACCCUCCUUCCCUCUUAAAUCAUUCAACUGAACAAAACAACCGGUGUCCAUCACUCUCGAAACCCUGCCCUUAUAAACCUGAUACAAUUCGGGCUCAUCCGAAUGGUUCUGGCCGUUCUGCCGAUCCCUAUUACCUCUCCUAUCAUCACCAUCUUCCUUAACAUCUCCAUCGUCUUCAUACCUAUCUCUCUUAUGCUUAUUGUAUCGAUCUGUAUGCCUUCCCCUGUCAUCAUCAUCAUCAUUAUAAUGUGUAUCUCUGCGCCUCUCAUCUCUAUCAUACCUUUCCCUUCGCCUCUCCCUCCCAUCUCUAUCUCUACCUCCUCUGUGUCUAUCUCGAUCUCUAUCUCUAUCUCCUUCCCUAUAUCUAUCACUACCUCUACGCCUAUCUUCUUCUCGCUCUUCAUCUUGUUCUUCUCUUCUGUUUCGCUUUUCCUUGGUCUCCAUCUCAAUUUCCUUCUCGAUGUCCUUGACUCUAUCUUUAUUAUCAGCGACUGCCAAAGCCUUAAACUUGGUCUUCCUACCAUCAGAAGCGCUCUCUUUCUUCGAGUCCUUCUCAGGCUUUGGCUUUGGUGGAAGAAUAGCGUGAAUGAUAGUGAGGAGUGUACGGACAAAGUAAUCGGGCAUCUCGGCACCGUUUUUCUUUAAUUUGGUGUCAAACUCGUCCACCGUCUCGCACUUUCGUCCCAACUCAGUGAUGAACUCCGCCAGAACUUUGUCCCCAACCCCUAUAUGGGUUUCGAGCUCUGAACAGACCUUGGAAACCAAGGAAAGGUACUCGAGCUUCUUCAAACCAUCGUCAGUGGCAGCCAUUAUGAACUUGCAGAGGUCCUAUUCAUAUUCAAUACAAAAACAAAUCAUAUCAAUAGAAAUUUCAAAAUUUAUGAGAAGAUGCAUAAACCGUAUAAUAUUAACUUGCACAGGCCCUAUUCAUAUUCAAGACAAAAAAUUCAUAUCAACGGAAAUUUCAAAAUUUAUGAGAAGAUCAUUGCUAUAUACUUUUAAUCAGUAGCAUAAAGUUCAAAAUUCAUGAAUGAUAAAUUUAUCACAAAAAAAGAAACAAUUUCUACAACUUCAAACUCACCCAGCAAAAAAUAAAAUUUAAAUCUAAAAUUGCAUACCAGGAGGAUCUGGAGAGUUAAUUCAACUAAUAAUAAAGUAAACUUGGAAUGCCAAAGCAAAUUCAACUAAAACCCUGUAGAACCCAGGAAAUAAGAAACGGAAGAGAAUAAAAAAGAAAUAUGAAACAAAAUCAAGGAAACUGAUCGUUGCUAAAGGGUGGAUCUUAAAUAUGUGAUGGGAUGGGGUCCAAGAUUAGAAUAUAUUGCAGUAAGACAUCAUACUUGGGAUGAGAUGAGAUCAAAGAUGGUUGCGCAUCAACCGUUGUCGCUGUCGAGAGAGAGGAGAGAUGAGCAAUAUGUAUAUGGCGGGAAGACGGCGUCGAAAAAUGGAGGAGUUGACGGUUGAGAUGGGCGGAUUGUUCGUCGCUGACGGCUGGAGCGUUUCUGUUUCAAAAAUAAUCUCAACUGAGAGGGGGGAUUUUAGCGAUUAGGGUUGAGAACUUGAGUUGGAGUGCACCGGCUGUAUCGAUACGCCUAAAUUUGGACCUGUGAAACUAGAGAAAAUAAUAUAAUAAUAAUAUCAUUUAUCUUUCCAAAGGCCAAAAACUUAUAAGUAAAAAUUUAAUAAAUUACAGAGAAACUUUAGUAAAUAGAAGAAUAUUAGGUAUGCAAUAAAAAGAUGAGGAAAAUUUUGGAAAAUAUAGUUAGUGGAGAUUUUUUUUUUUUUUUUAUACAAACAAUAAUCUAGUUUUUUUAUUUUUAUAAUCAUUCUAGGCCUACUUUAAUUUUUAUUUUUUAACAGCUAAUAGGAUAUUGGCACAUGAGUUGAUCUAUAGUAUUUUUUUACUACUUUUUGUUAGGUUAUUUUUAAUUUAAAUAUUCACUAGCCUCUUUUCACGCUCUUCUGCUUCUGUGAGAGGCUUUUUUAAAAAAAAAAUUGAAUUUAUUUUAGAAUUAAAAAAGAUAAUGAGUAGUUGUGUUCUAUAAAAAUAGGAUCCAUUAUCUGAUUUUUCUUUUAAUUUUAAUCUUUUUAAUAUGAAAAAAUGUGAAUUUACCAUAUUAUUCUCAUUUAAUUAAUAAUUUCAAUUCUUAAUGUUUGCAUUAAUCAAUGACAUUUUCUGGUAUUUUAAAUAUUUUAUCAUUCUCUACCUUUUGCUUUGUAUAUAUGGAUAUAGAUAAUAAUAAAAUACUCCCUUUCAUUGAGAUAUUGUUAUGCUUAAAAUCGUAUACACACCACAUUGUAUUGAAAUGUUAUAGUGACUAAACUCUUCAAGUAUCUUGCAAUUAUCAGAUAAGGAGUUAGUAAUCACAUAGGAAAAUAUUCAAUUUAUAUGUUUCUGGUUAUAAUAGUCAUGAUGCAUUUCACACCUUUUGCUGGUCUAGUCAAUACUGUUAUACUUCAGAAUUCCAAUAACGCUACGGGCACCAACUUAUUUACCAACUUUUGGAUACCAACACAUGUGGCACAUGACAUGGCAACCCAUGUCAUCUGCCAUCUCAUCUAUUUUAAUUACAAAAUUAACAAAGUGAGAAUGAACAAAAAAUAAUUUUGGUGGAUUAUUAUCGCGUUUGGAGUGAGUUUGGGUGUUUGAUUUGAUUUUGAUUAUUUAAUAAUACUAUUUUGGCCAUUGGAUUUGAUUUUGAGACAUUGGAAUUUUUUUUUUUUUGGUACAGUUGGAUUUGCUCAAAUUAAAUCUUAGCCAUUAUAUAUAACGAUAGAAAUUAAUUGGAAAAGAAAACGAAACAGUAGUUUGAAGGAAGCCGUUGGAUUCCUACGAUCCUUUCAUCCCAGCUCGUUAUGUGUCCUGACAACACGGGCCCCACGUCUUCUCAUCCAUUAAUCCCAACUCAAUGAACUUCCUUUUCAAACCCAACAAAAAAGAAAAAAAAAAAAAAAAGCGAUCUGAUUUGAAUGCACUUCUUUAUCAUGCAUUUUGUCCAGGAUAGGGGACUGAUUUUCCAGGCCAAGUGCGCAAAACAGUAGAGAUUUUAAAAUCAACUUUCCGAACGUAAAAUUAAAGUGGCUCGUUUAUGAAAAAGUUUCCCUCCCAUCUCCUCCUACUUUUCCCUCCUCACUCCCCUAGAAGAAUACCGGUAUAUAUUUUUCAUUUUCGGAAUUUCCAUUUUGUCUCAACUCAAACGUCAUUUGCUCUUGUCAUCCUCCUCCUUCAAUCCAACCCGCAUCCAUUGUUAGCUCGAAUCUUCUAAAACUACUACUUCGUUGUAAUUGGAUAUUAUUGAUUUGAUGGGUAGAGAGCAAGCUUAUGUUGGUGACGAUAUUGAUGAAAGUAAGUUCAAGACUUCGGAAGCAAUGAACCGCUACAAGAUAAUCUUCAGUGUUCAAGCUGUGACGGUUGAGCGGGAGGUCAAAUUGAGUGACUUCGAGGAUCUUGGGCUUCCUAGAAUCUUCAAAUCAAGAGGUUGGCUUUUGGCAAUGGGUCCUUCAGAGCCUACUAAUAUCCAGAUUGUCCAAGAAUUCUACGCAAACAUUCCUCCUUUCUCCGCCGAGCAGAAAACCUCACCUGGGUUGGGCCCUUUUGGUUCUUGUUUGUGGGAUGAGACUCUGCAUUUCUCUAGCGGUCGAGAAUACCCUGACUCAUUUGAUGUGUAUUUGCGAGGUAAGGUGUUAAAUUUCUCUGUUUCUGGCAUUGCCCAGUUACUUAAACUUACUAGGGCAAACCCAAAUGAAAAAUCACCUGGUUUUCCUGGGCUUGUUGUUGAUAAUCUUGACUUGAAGGUGGUGAAAUCUACUUUGGGUUGGAACAAGAGGGUCAGGGUUUUGCGUGAAAAUCGACUGAGUGAUUUGUACAAAGUGCUUAACAGCAUAGUGAGAUAUAAUAUCGAUCCUCCUUGUCACGUUAUCCCUUCUUUGCUUAGCAUUGAUAGAGCUCGCCUUCUUUAUGCCAUUGGGAACAAUGUACCUACUGAUCUGGCCACCUACAUUUUUCGUGCCAUCUGCCGUGCUGCAUUCCCAACUUCCAUGCCCGACUCCCUGCCUUUUACUUCCUUGAUCACACGCUUCGCCAUGGCUUCUCACGUGCCAGUUGAGCCUACGGAUAAGCUUUAUUCUCCUUGGUCGCCUUUGGACAACGUGGAUAUUUUUGGCUAUAGCUUUACUCCAUCUUCUCCGGCAGUCAAGCAACCUCAAGCCGUGGUGAGCCACACGCCCAGUAUGGCCAUACUUACCAAUGGCGUUGCUGAGCACAGGGGUGAUGUGCACCCCGUUUCCACCCACUCGGUCAUCCCACCUUCUUCGAAACAGCCAUCUGCAGGUCAGUCAAAUGUUAAUAGACAGACAUUAACAACAACAAAUGUAAUUUUCCUUAGAUUACACUUGGACAUUCAGCUUAUUACUGUAAAAUGCAUAGGCCCUUAUUGUUUUUAAGUGCAGGUGGUAAAAAUUUCCGAGGGUUUUCGUUGGUAGCAUCAUAGUUAGUAACAGAGUUGAACUUAUAGUAAGCAAUUAGGCAUCAAACAUGGCACGUUUCUGUGAUUAGUACUUAUGUCCUUCAAUUGUGUAUAUAUUGUUUGCAUGGUAAGUGGAAACCUUUAGAAGAUAAGCUCUCUGUUUGAAAUCACAUCUGUAUUCUUUUAAGGUUUGGUGUGAAGGAUAAACCAUGAAGUAGUCUACUAAUGCGAUAAUGGCUCAUAUUUUCACAUUUUCCUGUCUUCGUUGCCUCUGUUCUUGAAAACGUAUAAAGUGAUGGAGAGGUCUUAUUAUUUUUGGAAAAUAUUACAAUGUUCCCACAUCCCUGUAAUCUGUAUUUGACAGUGUACAUUGAUAAUAAAAUGAACGACUCAGAUACUUCAUGUGACAAUGAGGUAUGAACUUCAUCACAUUUUGUCUCUUUAAGGUUAUAAUAGUCACGAUGCAUUUCACACCUUUGCUGGUUUAGUCAAUGCUGUUAUACUUCAGAAUUCAGAUAGAUUAGAAUCAGAUGAUUGCUUUCUCUCUGCUUGUUACCAAAUACUCUGUCAGUUUAAUAUCUUUGUGUGUAAACAAUAUAAGAAAAACGAAUCUUUUCUCUUGUGCUGUUUUUGCUCUCUUUGAUAUUUACUUUCUCUCUGUGCUUGUGCUGAAGAAAUAAUGGAGGCUGAAGAAGAAAAUAACAGCAAUUUGAUUCCUAACUCACAUGCUUGUAUAAAUCCAUUAACUUCAACUUCUGACUCGCAUCCAAAUAAGAAAGUGAAAAAAGAUCCAUUGGAACAUGCAGCUGGUGAGGUGUCAAAGUUACUGCUGAGUGGUUUCAAAGAUACCUAACGUCAGUAGAUUGCAAGUUUUUAAAGCUGUACGCAUAAUAUUGAAUGGUAACCCAGAAGAAUUCUCUCUACUGAUACUCUUCCUGAUGUUGAGAAGACAAAGUGGAUACUCUUACUAAUUAGUCAAUCUGAAGGUAACUUUCUUGAUAAAAAUUGAGCCAAUAGCUCAGGGGAUAUAAAAUAGGUCUUAGACAUAAAGCCACUUAUCAACAUUUACUUUCUCUCAGGAAAAGAAGAAAGUUUGAGAUACGCUAUCCCUUCUGGCCAUGGUAUGGCUCUCUCUCUCUCUCUCUCUCUCUCUCUGUCUCUCUCUGUGUCUCUCUCUCUCUGUCUCUCUCUCUCCCUCUAACUUAAUUUCUAGUUCUGCAUUUGUUGUUUUAAUUUUAUGCUUUUAACAUGUCAAACCAAUACUUCACUCUGUAAGAUUACUACUUAAUAUCUAGAUAGAAGAGAGAUUUGAACUGAAAUAUCCCAAUUGUAAAUCCUUCUACUCCAAAUUAAAGAGAAAAAGAAAAGUAUGAACCAAUUGGACAGAAUAUACUUGCACAUACUCCCUCCUUGAAUGAGUUUCAGUAAGAAAGCUAGUGUAGCCAAUUGGACAGAAUUUACUUGCACAUACUCCCUCCUUUGAUGUAGUUUCCAAGUGCAUCACCUUAUGAUACCUCUUCAUGUUUUCAAUUAGUAUUGGCUUGUGACAUGCCAAUUUUCUGAGCUUUUAGGGUUCAAUUAUGUAGAUAGAAGAGAGAUUUGAACUGAAAUAUCCCAAUUGUAAAUCCUUCUACUCCAAAUUAAAGAGAAAAAGAAAAGUAUGAACCAAUUGGACAGAAUAUACUUGCACAUACUCCCUCCUUGAAUGAGUUUCAGUAAGAAAGCUAGUGUAGCCAAUUGGACAGAAUUUACUUGCACAUACUCCCUCCUUUGAUGUAGUUUCCAAGUGCAUCACCUUAUGAUACCUCUUCAUGUUUUCAAUUAGUAUUGCCUUGUGACAUGCCAAUUUUCUUCAAUGAUUAUAUACAGGGAGCAGAGUGGCCAAUUCUUUCCUUUCAUAAUUCAACAUCUUGUUCUGGGCACAUGGUAGAAGAUGCCUUCUUGUAAACAGACUUUUUGUAUUUGGUCAGGCUUGCAAUGCUCUAUUUUGUGGAUUUUAAGAUUGUAUUAGGCUUACUUGUGAGCUGCAAAAUGCCUUGUACCAAAGUUUAUGUAUAAAAUGUGUGCUAAAUCUUGUGUGUGGAGUACAAGAUUGAAGGUCUUCCUGGAAAAGCAAUCACAAGCAUUUUCUCUUUUCAAUUUGUAGAAAUGUUCAAGUUCUUGCCCAUCACUUGCAGAUAUAUAGUGUUGUGUACCAUAAAGGCUCCAUCAUAUGCAAUUCCAUCAAGGCUUGCAGGCCAAUCACUGCUUUCUCUUGGAUAUUACAAACAUUUGUAGAGCCAUAAUGAAAACUUGGUAGACAAACCCAAAUACGUGCAUUGACCAUUUGCUUAAACUUGAUAGGCUAGCAAGAGCUUGUAGCUCAAGUGGUUAAGAGUAUCUAUCCUUACACUUGAGGUCCUAGAUGUGAUUCCCUCCUCCCAAUAUCGCUUGUAACCAAAAACAAGCAAAAAAACUUGAUAGGCCAGACCCAGAUGAACCUGGUUUUCAUAAACUUGUUUGUCAGCUUGAUAGUGGCUUAUUAGAGUCCAAAUUGGUUGGGAAAGUAAUGUCCACCAGUUUUAGCAGAUACCCUUUGAGACAAUGUUGAACAGAGCACUUCACUUGAUUGUUAAUGACUAGGGCCCCAAGGGUAUGUUCUUGGUAUGUUACCUUAGGCCUAAGAUACUCUGUCUGUCAGAAGAGAAGAAUGGAGAAGAGGGUGAACAGUGCACGAGAUUGCUGGGUUUUUGCAAGUUAGAGAGAUGAAGAAGGUGGAAAAAUAAGGCACAAAUGGGAAGAUAGCUUGCAUUCUUCUUAUUUUUAACAGACUUUUAUAUAUACCCUACAACGUAAACUAGAAAAUAAUUAUAUAAAAUAAUGAAAUUCCAAAACUCUUUUGGAUCUGAAAGUCUAAAGGUUUUCAUUUCUUCAGUUUUCCUCUCACUCUUUGGUUCUCCAUCAAUUUAUUUUUCAUCAUUCUCUCAUCUCAUCCCUCCUUUACAUGUAUGCAAUCAUUGUAUAUUAAAUGAGGAGAAGUGAGGAGAUGAGUAGAGCUGGGUUCAGGGUUGGUGACAAAGAAAAUGAAAUCAAUCAAUGAUGGAGAUAGAUGUCCAAAGAAAAAUAUUUUGAUGAAGUAGAGAAAUUGUAUUUUUGGGAAGAGUUGAGUGUCUAGAGAAUGGUGAGAAUAAAAAUAGAAACCCAUUGAAACACCGAGUGUAAACAGAAUUCUUGGUAAUAUGAAAUUUCUCUUUCACAUUCAAGGAGUCAAAUCACAUGAAAAGUUUAUGAAGGAACUAUGUUGUAACUACUCUUAACAACUUGAGCUAUACGUGUCAAGUUAGAUCUUCAAUAAUGUAGUAACACACUCUUCAAUAAUGUCUCACAAUGUUAGAUCUUUCAUAGUGAAAAUUAAAUUGAAGAGUGAGAAAGUGAUUUCUAAGAGCAACUCCACCGCUCAAGAUUGAGCUAGGGCAAUCAGUGGGUCCCACCAACCUGGGCAGGCCCAAAGGCAAUUCUUGCAUGGGCUUCAGCCCGAGGGCGGUGACAUCAGCGCACGGUAAUUCAAAUUUUUUUUACCGUUGGUGCGUGAAUUACACGCGCCAACAGUAAAAAAAUUUGACUUCCGCGCGCUAACGUCAGCCCUGAUAGACUCUAAUGGCCAUUUGACACGUAUCGCAACCGGGCUUCUCCGAUGAGUUUUUUUCCAGAAAUCCAACGGUCUUUGUUUUUUUGGCUAAAAAAAUUCCAAAAAAAUUCUGAAAUUUUUUUAAAAAAUACCAAAAAAAUUCUGUAUUUUUUUUUCCUAUAAAUACCUAACUAUUUUAUUUACUUUCCACACUAAAUCUUCAUACAAUUUCUUCUCCAUCCAAUAUUUUUUACUCUCCACUCACAUUAUUCACUUCCCACACCAAUUCUCCAUACAAACUCUUCUCCUUCCAAUAUUUUUUACUCUCCACUCACAUUUUUCACUUCCCACACCAAUUCUCCAUACAAAUUCUUCUCCUUCCAAUAUUUUUUACUCUCCACUCACAUUUUUCUACUACUUUCCAUUUGUAAAAAAAAAAAAAAAAACAAAUGGCAUCUUCUGUCGAAACCGGAGGCUCGUGGUCAACUCAGGAAGAUAUUGCAUUGUGUCAGUAUUAGGUGAACGUUAGUAAUGAUCCUAUCACGGGCAAUGAGAUGAAGUUCCAUCAUAUGUGGAGUAAAAUUCAUGGAGAAUUUUGUCAAAGAUCGGGUCCCAUUCGGACCGAAAUAGCCUUGUCUAGUAGAUGGAAACUUCUGAAUAAAGAGUUAGGGAAAUGGAGAAAUGCCUUGACAAAAACAAGGGAGAACAUUCGAAGCGGUCAAAAUCUAUCCGAUGAGGUAAAAUAUUUAUAAUUGUCAUUUUAAUAAAUUUAAUGUAAUUUUUUUUUAUUGCAUAUUCUAUGUCUUUUUGUUGCAUAAUCUUUUUUUUUUCUUUUUGCAUUUCCAAUUUGUCUAUAUUUUCUUGCAUAAUCAAUUUCAUUCUUGCAUUUCAAAAUAGUUUAUAUUUUCUUGCAUAAUAAUUUUUUUUCUUGCACUUCCAAUCAUUUAUUUUUAAUAGAUCAUACAAGCACAAAUGUGGUUCGGUGCCAUGGGGCAAGGCAAAAAAAGUUUCGUGCAUUUCCAAUGUUGGGAAGUUGUGAAAGAUUGUUCAAGAUUCAAAAUUAUUCCCACCGGUCCAACAGUUUUGUUGAAUGAGACGCCGCUUCACGAUUCACCAUCAACCGAUUCGCCAUUGGACUUCCCAAUGGAAACGGAGUCACCACUCCCACGUCCGCCAAGACCUAUUGGGAGAAAGGCGGCAAAGGCCAAGAGAGGGGGCACUUCAAACAAUGAAUGUAUACAAUUAUUGGAGCAAAUAGCUAAGAACACCUCACUAAGAAUUGAGAGAGACUUGAAAAGAGAUGAAGUGGACAAGGCACGAGAGGAAGCAUUUGUAAUUCAACAGCAGCAGGCACAAGACAAAGACAUGGAUGAUAGAGAGAUGAAAAUCAUGGCCAUGGAUACGAGCCAUAUGUCUCCUGAAACCAAGGCCUAUUGAAAGCAUAGACGAAGAGAUGUGAUGAGAAGAAAACUUUUCCAUGACGAUGAACCUAGCAAUACGGAUUGGUUAAAUGAUGAAAACCAUUAAGUUUUAUUGAAACACCUUUGCCAUAUGUUGUAUUGUUGUAUUGUUGUAUUAUCCUUUAAUUUAUUGUAUUGUUUCCUUUUCAUUAAAUAAAAAAAGUAUUAAAUAAUAUGACUAUUUAUUAAAAACAUUUGAGCAUCAAAAUAAAGAUUAAUUAAAAACAAACCUUAAUUUAUUGCAAACAACACACAAAAUAAAUCAUACAUAAAAGCAUAAUAAUAAUAAAAAAGAUAGAGAUGGUGUAGUUUUAUAGAGGGAUUCAGAAGAUAGAAAUGACACGUGGCACAAUUUUAGAGGAUGAAAAUCUUAUCUGAAAUAUGAGAUUAUAAUUUUUAAAAAAUAUCUGAAAAUCUUAUCUAACAGAGAUAACACUUGGCACAAUUUUAGAGGGUGAAAAUCUUAUCUGAAAUAUGAGAUUAUAUUUUUUUUUUAAAUAUCUGAAAAUCUUAUCUGACAUGGGACACGUGACACAAUUUUAGAGGUGAAAAUGUUAUCUGAAAUAUGAGAUUAUAAUUUUUUUUAAUGAAUAUCCGAAAAUUUUAUCUGGAAUAAGACAUGUGGCAACUAAGAUUCUCAUUCGAAAAUCUUUUCUGAAAAAUAAUGGACAUGUGACAGUAAAAAGUAUUAUCCGAAAAUUUAAUUACAAAAGAUUAUCAAAAUUAAUAGUUUAAAGUAUAAAAAAAUAGGAAAUAAAGUACAAUGAAUAGUAUUUACCUUAGACUUGCCCUAGACUUAACCCUCAUGGGUGGAACCACAAAUGGCAAGGCUGCCACUAUUCAUGUGACUAUUCAUGUGAAUAGUCACAGCCCUUGCUUACCCUUGCCCUAGACUUAGCCCUUAUGGGUGGAAUUGCUGUAAAAAGUUAACAUCAAAAGACCCUUAAAAAGUAUGUGAUCAUUCUCAAUAUGGACCCCCAUAUUUCAAUUUCAUUAUUUUACUCCCACGGUUUUCAAAUUUGCUCAAUUUACUUUCCGUCACAUUAACUGCUAACGUGUCUACUGUGAGACACAGCCACUUAUCAAUCCCCAUCCCAUCUAACAUGUAAUAAAACAAAAACUAAAUAUAUGAUAUUAAAAAAAAAGAAAAAAAAAAGAAGAGGCAUAUAGCCUUCCCCAUCACUCUCACCGACGCACAGUCGCACCACCCGAUCCCCCUCCCUUUCUUCGUCCUCUCUCUCUCUCUCUCUCCCUCUCUCCCUCUCUCCGUCCCUUUCUCCCCCAUCCCAUCUUCUCGAGUUCUCUGAUUCCCCCCCCCCUCUUCGCGAUCUACCUCUCCUUCGAGAGGCUUCUCGAGUCCAGGCCCUGCGAUGCCGAUCAGACCUAGCUCAUCGAUCGCUCUCUCCAAUUGGGCUCUGUGCUCCUCGAGGCUGCUAAUCGUUCUGCGAGAAAACCAGCCUCCAAGCACAACUCUCUCACCUGUACUCUCCCCUCAAACCUCCCUCCAAGCACAAUUUGUAUAUAUUGAUAGGGAUGGGGAGCUGGGAGGAUAGUGGGACGGAGAGAGAGAGGGGGGGACGAAGAGAGGGAGAGUGCUCUGGUGGGGAAGAGCCAGGUGCGCCGCUAUCACGAACACAUUCAGACCACGAGCUGACGCAAGUGGAAAUCAUGCUUCUCUGUUUUUCUAGUUCUGUAGUCGCCGCUAAUCAUGCUGCUUUGAUUUUCCAUUGAUGUUUGCUUUGUUACUCUCAAAAAGUUUCCUUCCUUUAUUUUUUAUUUAUUUCGAUAAUGAAAUUUGAAAUUUGAAUUGUGUGUUGCUUUGUUACUCUCAAUAAAUCUUCCUUCUUUUUCUUUUUUCUUACAGGAAUUGGGUUUUGGUGUUUCACCAACGAGCUGACGCCAGAGAGAGAGGGAUGGGGUUGGUGUGGGUGCGAUUGAGGGGUGAACAAGGGGUGCUGGGUUUGUUGGGCUGAGGAAGGGCUGGGAUUUUUUAAGGUAUUUUUAUUUUAUUUUAUUUUAUCACUUUAUAUAAAUUUUUUUAGGAACUGAUUAGUUAGUGGGCGGAUCCCGAUUGCCCAUAUUGAGAAUAACCCCAAAUGUCUUUUGAUGUUAGCUCAUUUCUAAAUUUGUAGAGUGAGGGAGUGACCACAGUUUUGAUAUAUUGGUGUCUAUUUUUAUUGGAGCUGAUUUUGUUUGCCUCACCUUACCAGUGGGUAUAUUCCUGGUAAAUAAUAUUGCAACUCUUGCGCUUUUAGAAAUUGUGUGUAUAGUUUUAGAAAAUGGGUCAUGUAAUUUUAAUAUAAAAUUGCUACAAACUCUUGUCAACCCUGGAAAGUUCAGUCCAAGUGGACGAGACAUGCUCUCUCUUAUUAAAAAUGCUAUACAUGUACACCAUGCUUUUGUCCUCAAAUUUGGACUCGUUAUACAGUAUAGACUACUUUAUUUAUGUACUUGGCUAAGAGUUCGAUUAUUUUCCUCCCCUUUUCUUAAAUGGAAAUCAUCUCUAGUUCUUUUCACCCCUAACAACAUAUGGAACUGCUGAGUUCAUAACUUUUCUAUUGUUUAUCUUUUAUGCAUAAAAUUAUAUCUUGUUUUUUUACUGGGUAAUUCAAAACUUGGAAACUCCUUCGACGACUUUACUAAAAAGGAUUUAGGUUUUUUUUACUAAAAAGUCAGUAUAGUAUGAAUACCUAUUUGAUACGAUGUAGGUUUUUUUUUUUAAUUUAAAAAUUUAUUGAAAGGAUUUUUAAUUAUUUGUAUUGGCACUAUUAAUUUUGCCACAGAAUUCUCAGAGGUUUAGUAAUUUGCUUUUACAAAUACCAUGAUCGUUUUGGGAAAUCUCUCUUUCUGGAGGCAGAUUCCAGAGCCGUUUAAGGGAAAUUCGUAGUCGAGCUACCGAUGUUCAUGAUAAGGAAAAGGGAAUCAAGAUUACUGAGAAGGAUUGGGAAAAGUUGAAUGUACAAUUGCUUCAUACAACAAUUUUCCUACUGCUGCUGGAUUGGCUUCCUCAGCAGCUGGUUUUGCUUGUCUUGGUAACCGAUAAUACCCUAUUUUGGAUCAUAUUAUUGUUAAUUUGUUAUAUGAUUAGUGCCUUAACUUUGAGAACUCAUGACUGUUAAUAAUGUUACUUGGGUACCGGAUUAAUCAUUCUUUGCCAAUAGAUAGUAGUUAAGCAACGAGCAUAUCAUAGCUAAGCCUCUGUUUCUACUUGCAGUUUUUGCCCUCGCAAAGUUAAUGAAUGCGAAUGAAGAUCACAGCCAGCUUUCUGCUACUGGAAUCAAUCUGAGAUUUUAAUAAGCCAUCGCAAUCUGACUAAGUUUUACAGAAUACUUAACACAAUAGUAAGUGCUGAUAUCGACCCUGAAGAACGUCUCCUUGACAGUAGCUUAAUUGAUUUUGACAGAGCAAGCCUCCUUUAUGCCAUUGGGAAUAAUAAUGCGUCCAUUGAUCAGCCCGCCCACAUUUUCCGAGCCAUUUGCCUGGCUGCAACCCCAGACGACUACUACGAAACUCAUUCCCUGCCUUUUGGGUCGUUGAUCACUAGGUUUGCCAUGGCGUCUAAAGUGCGAAUUGAUCCUACGGAUCAGCUUAAACAACUUAUGCCACCUAUCAACUAGAUGAUGUUUCAUAAUGAUCAGACAGAUGAAACAAGUGAAGAAUCUGUUGUUGGAUUUACUCCUCCUCCUGCACCUGCUUCGGAGCCAAGUCCUCCACAGCUUAAUCAGCCUCCUCUGUCCCAGACAAAAAGCUUUGAGAAGUUUUCUAUAAAGCUGAGAAAGCGCAUGGCCCGACUUGCCAAUGAGGUCGUUAAGCUCACCGGUUGCGUACAUUGGGGCAUCCCAUUGAAAGAGCCAUUUACAGGUCAUUCUAAUGUUGAGCUUGCUUUAGUUUAUAUGUGUUUUUGUCCUUUUCAGCUUUGUUAAACCCUGUCUUCAACUUUCAUUUCUAAUCCAUUGAUUAUCUAUGAGUUGUUAGGCUUUUGUUUCCAUUUGUUUAUUCAGUUGUUCUUCUUUUAUACCCUCUCAUUUGUUUCUGCUCCUCUGUCUUAUGAUUUUCCACUUCCACUUAUCACUCCCUUGUCAUACACACUUGCAGUACAAGAUAAAUAGAAUCUGAAGUUUGCCUUGUUCUGGAUGAUAAAUAGAAUUCUAUUUAGUUAUAUAUUUUCAAAGAUACAAGUUAAAUAAAGACGAUGUAGCGAGCACCAUAAGCUUCAAAAGAAUUUUCCUAGUUCUAGGCUUAAGUAUAUUUUUUAUCUAAAGGACCUCUGAGUUGACUGCAGGAACUGAUUCAGCCUAAUACUGUAAAAGAAUUGUCCCUUGAAUAUCUUUUUAUGUACAGCUGGUAAGAAAAUUUUCGGGUUUUUACUGGUGGAAGGAAAGUAAUAAACUUGAAGUUAGCAACUAGCACUGAAUGCUUCUGUGGUUAGUGAUUUAGUAUUAAAGAGAAGCUCUGUUUCUGAUCAUAUAUGUAAGAUUGAUUUUGAUUGCAUUAAUUAGUAAAAAAGAUAAGCUCUGUUUCAGAUCAUAUAUGUAUUCUUUUAGUCAACUAAUGAGAUGGGGUGGUUAACAUUUAUUUAAGUGUGACUGGAACAGUUUUGAGUGAUGAAUUUUCCUAUUUUCACUAGGGAGCUGCCUUUGAAUUUGAUAUUUUCGGGAGUGAUUCGAUGCUUUUCUCUCGUUUGAAAACUUAACAAAAUUAAAUAUUCACAAUAUUCCCCAUCGUCUGUAUAAUAAAAAUGAAACUGCUUCUACAUGUGAUUAUGAACUCCAACACAUCUUGUGUCCUUGUGGUUGUAAUAGUCAGCAGUUAAUGCACUUCUUUGCUGCUUUAGUGGAUGUUUUUUAUGCUUUACUUUCUCUCUGUUAUUGUGCUGAAGAAAAUAUGGAGGUUAAACAAGAAAAUGAUGAGAAUUUUAUUCCCAACUCACAUACUUCGACACAUCUAUCAACUUCAAUUUCUGGCUUGCAUCCAAAUAAGAAAGCGAAAAAACAUCCAUUGGCACAAGCAAUUGGUGAGGCGGCAGACUCACAAAAGGAGUUUUCGGCAAGUCAAAUGAACCGCAACUCAGAGGAGAGGAUGUACUUGCAGUGGUCUCAAAGAUACCGAACUUCAGUAGAUUGCAAGUUUUGAAGGCCGUACACAUGUUAUUGAAUACUGCUUAUUAGUAAAUCCUGGGUCUAACUUUCUUGAUAAAUGAUGCUGAGUGAGCCAAUUAUUUCUCAGGGGUUUAAACUUUUGCAUAGAGAGACACUUAUCAGCAUUUACUCUCUCUCUCUCUCUCUCUCUCUCAUUAAUCCAGUAUUAGGAGUGAUCUUGCUUUUUAUUCUUUUCAUAUACAAUAUUAUUGAUAUCCUUUUAUGUCCUUUUACACACACUGAGCUUCUUGACAUGUUCUGGGCUUUUAAUCAUGCUUCAAAGACAUACUUUAAAUCCAUUUAUAUAUCUUCUUUAUCUAUUUAUUUCUCUUGUUUGAGAGGAGGUAUUAUUUCUCUUGUUCAUUAUACUAAUGUAAUUUACACGGAAAGGGGUUUGAACUUCGGUGUAAGGGGUAAGCUCACCAUCUUAUCCAAUUAGCCUAACCGCAUUUGCAGAUGUAUACAAAUACAAUGAUAUAGUCCAAACUACUCUAAAUCUAAACUACUAGGGCAUGUUUGGUAGGGUUCACUAGAUAGGACUAUGCUAAAUUGAACCUGAAACCCAUGUUUGGAUAGAAAGGGGACUAAUUUAAAUGGGAUUGUAGAGCCCAACAGUAACAAAAACCCCUCACUCGUUCUCCUUAUACAGAGAAGCUGAAAAUGGGUUCACAAAAUAAGCGCUUCGUUAUAUUGAACACGCGACAACGCCUCUCUCUCUAGUUCUUGACUUCGCCCUCUAUCUAGUUCGCGACUCGACCUCUUCUUUGUUCAACAUCGACUCCUCUUCUUCGAAUCUUGACCCAGGCAAGUUUUUCUGGUCUUUCCCUUUGGAUACCUCUCUUUUCCUUCUUCCACCUCUUUGAUUUUUGCAAUUGUCCUCAACAAUUUUGACUCUGUGCUCUGAAUCUCUCCUUCCUUUUCUCUGUUUUUUGUUAUUCUUUUCUCUAAUUUUCGUAGAAUCCAUAUCUACUGUAGCGACAUAUAUAUAUUUGAUGUUAAUUGACAAUUAAUUUGCAAUGGGUAUUUAAGAAAGCCUAGAAAUUCAGAAUCUUGAGUUUAGAGUAGACUUUUGGCAUGAAUCUUGAGUUUAUUGAACUUACUGGUUCAUGUGGGAUGAUGCAUCUUUGUGGUUUCAGUUUUUAAAUAAGAUGCUCUCCUUUCAUCUUAUUUAAUCUGAAUAAAAAUAAGAUGUUUCUUUUCUGAUGUACGCAAUUCAUACCAGUCUCAUGUGUGACUAUAUUCAAUAGGAUUUGAGACAUGAUGACUAAACCUUCUGAAUAUCUUUCUAUGGCACUUGGUGGCUGGACUGAGGAUUUCUUGUAUUUUCAUGAGUUGUAUUCAUUGGAGACUUUUAAUAGGUACCUUAACAUGUAAAAUGGCUGCAUCUUGCCUACCAUCAUCUACUUUCAGACACCACAUAUAUAAUCUCACAGUUGAGGUGUAAGUUUUGAAGUGGAGCCUCAACUUAGGCUCUCUGUUAGAACGUCUCCUUUAAGUUCUCAUUUUGGGUAAAUGAGAUUCUGUAUUCACUCUAACUGUAUUCAAUUAGAUUAACUAACAUAAGAAUGUCUCUACCCUUUUUUUCUUUCUUUUUUAUAUUUUCCCUAUUUCCCCAUGGUCAUAAUUUACAGGCCUUUGUCUUAACUCUGGCACUACCUAGGUCUGCCAAUUUUCUUUUUUCUUGGUUGGUGAUUUAGUGCUAAAAGAUUACACAGAGGAAGAUUAGUAUUUGUUUUAUGCUUGCUGUUGAGUUUCUUUUGUAGCUAUGAGGUUGCCAUUUCUUAUAAAAUUUUUGCCAAAAAGUCAUACUAGGUUACCAUUUGGAUAGAAGGUACAUCAAAUCUUGAUUUGGGCCUUUUUGUUUGCUCAUGUCAUUGUGGUAAUGUUAUAGGUAGCUGGUGUGAAAUUAAAAAGAAAAAAACAGAGUUUGCAUUGCUAUUUUAUUAUUCAGCAUUCCAUCAGUUGUUUUAUGCUUGCUGUGGAGUUUCUUUUGUAGCUAUGGGGUUGCCAUUUCUUAUAAAAAUUUUGCCAAAGGUUACCAUUUGGAUAGAAGGUACAGCAAAUCUUGAUUUGGGCCUUUUUGUUUGCUCAUGUCAUUGUGGUAAUAUUAUAGGUAGAUAGAAUCUAACAAUUCUUUACAGUUGACUCUGGUGUGAAAUUAAAAAGAAAAAAAACACAGUUUGCAUUGCUAUUUUAUUGUUCAGCAUUCCAUCAGUGAUGGGCAGCUUGCAACUUUCUUUUAGUGAUUGGCAUGGGCAAAGUCCUUCUAAUGUCCUCUCACCACAUGUGGACAUUAUACCAGUAGAGCAAUUUCUCCUUUAUAUGAGAUAGAGAGACCAAUUACUCAAAAAUGAAUAAAAUACCAACAACAAAUUAAAGAAAACAGAGCAUCUGACACUGUUGGCCAUGUCAAAGCAAAGUCAUGCUAUGUUUUUUCUUUUUGUUUGGAGAAAGAUAUGUAGUUUUGGAGUUUGCAAUUGUGACAAAUCCCCUGUGAUUGAUUGUAUCUGUCAUUUGACAGAGCAAUUUGCGUCCUACAUGAGUAUCAAUUGAUUUUGGUCUCUCAAAUAAGAAAAUGCAAUAAAUAACAUGGUGUUCAUUAGCAGCAGCAGCAUCUUUUGGCCAAAAGUGAAAUAAUUCUGCGAUUUUUUUCUUCAUAUUUGUUGUGGUAUUAGGCACACGUUGGUUGAUAAUUUGGUCCAUUUGGGGCAAAUUUUCCAUACUUUGCAAUGGUAUUAAUUAUGGCUUUGUAGUAAUUGUUCUGUUUCAUAGAAACAUAUGAAACUGUUCGUUUUCAAUUUUUGGGGUUAUUUCACUUUCAAUAGAAUUGGUUAAGUGCAAUAAUUCUUUUCUUUUUUGAUUAAUAGAUAUGGAUCAUGCUUAGAAACAAAGUUACGCUUUUUUGGCAGAUUCCAAUUAUUGAUUAUGGUAUUAUUUUAUUUGUGCUGAUUAUUCUUAGGAAAGGAAAAUAAAGGUAACAGUCAAAACUUCGAACAAGGAAGAAAGGGACUAGGCGGUCAUGGUCCACAAAAUACAUCUAUAUUCAUGUCUUUGGAUGAUGAUAUCAAGAAAGUGUUUGUUGAGCAGUUGCUUAGUGACAAUGCUUGAGGACAUGGCCUAGCUAAAUUUAAUGCAUCUAUCUUUUUGGAAACACCAAAAAUGAUGCAUUGAUAAGAUUGGCUUCAUUUUGGAAACACCACAAAUUGUAUAACAUAUUGCUAGCAUUAAAGCCAAAUGGUUCAUGGUUGUGAGGUUUAUUAGUUCAUUUUGAAAUUGUGGAUGUUUAUUUGUAUGUAUUAAUGGUAGAAUUGUGUGUAGUGAACUGGACUUCUAAUUUCUGAGUAAUGUAGAUGACUUUGGCAUAUAUGAAGAAUUUCUAACUUUUGCAUAUAUGAAAUGUAUAUGUCAAUUUGGUUUGGAGAAAAAGAAAUGUAUAUGACAAUUUGGUAAUUCUAAUAACAAAAAAAACUUACAUUUAAUUAUUUAAAAAUAUUAUUUUUAAAUAUAAAAUAAUUAUUUUUUAGUCCUACAUAGCACCAAACAUAGGUCUUCGCUAUUUUUACAAUCCAGCUUUUUAGUCCGACACAGCACCAAACGUAUGUCAGUACUUAAUCCAGCUUAGUCCAAUCUGAGCUAAUCCAAGAUAAUCCUAGGAUUUAGUCCAGUCCAUGACAGUCCGCCGUACCAAACGACCCCCUAUAUUACUUUCCUUCUAUAGUCAAUAUAUAUGACUUUUGCCCUUCAAACUAAUUAUGUCUUACCUACAAUCCAUUAUUUUAUCUACUAUAUUACUUUCCUUCUAUAGUCAAUAUAUAUGACUUUUGCCCUUCAAACUAAUUAUGUCUUACCUACAAUCCAUUAUUUUAUUUUAUUUAUAAAUAAAACCCAAUGAUUGGAUCCGACUCAUCAAUUUACCUAAUUAAAUUUAAAAUUUUGAUUUAUUGUACUUUUUUUAGAUUAAAAAUAAUAAUUAUGGAUAAUUAAUCUACCUAUGCAAUCUCGGCAAAUUCUUAUACCUACAAAAUAUAGGUAAAUUGGUACCCUUUUUUAAUUUUAUAAAUAACGUGCCUAUUUUUUCAUAACUAAUGUACCUAUUUAUUUUAUAGAACUAAUUCAAUAGCAACGUUUUUUUAAAAUAUAGAAAUAAUGUACCUAUUUUCUUAUAAUUAAUGUACCUUUUUUUCUUUAAAAAUAUUUACGUAUUCAGAAUCUCGCCCCUAUUCUGACUGAGAAUUGCUCCUCAAUCAAUCAAUAUGCAUCUCACCACCCAAGCUCUCUUUCUUCACUGGGACCGUGUUUUGUUCUUUAUUUAUUUUUAUUUUUUUUUCAUUUUAGUUGUUGUUUAAUUUUUAAACUUGUGUUUUUUAAUAACCAUUAUAUUAUCAUUUAUAUCCAAGGGCGAAUGACCACAAAUUCCUUGGACCACAGGAGUUCAGAAGAACGGGACCGAGUAAUUCAUAUACUAAUCAUUUAUCGAGCAACAAAACAAAUCAAAUCAAAGAAUCAGAAUGCAAAAUGAAGGAAGCUGCUCCGAAACUCUAUGAUCAGAUAUCCAACACUAAAUCUACUUAAGUGUUUCGUGAUCAUCACUAUAAUAAGAGAAACUUUCGUGUGUAAUUGUAAGACCCCAUGUUUAACCUAAAUUAUAGGGGCAUUUCAAAAUAGACUUGGUCAAUAACCAAACUCUCAUAUUAUAGUUGUUGAAUAAAAACCCAUUAUUCAUUUAUUAGUAUCAAUAAAUAUAUAGGCAUUAUAUUAAUAUUAGGUUGAGUAGAGAUAUUUCCACAUGUUUCACUUAAGUCAAGUUCACAUUUGCAAAAAGAUAUUUGUAACUUGUGCCCAGGGGAUGGGAUGCAAAGCCAUUGAUUGAGUGGACACGGGAAGGCACCUUACCAAGUCAAGUCAAGUCAAUACCUGCAAGUCAGUUGGAGCACGCGUUGAAGGGCACCAUAUCAAGUCACAAGUCUUCAUUUAUCUUUUUCCACAUAGUGACAUGAAUUAAAGUGGUGAGUCUCUCUUCCUUUUGUUCACCCGUGUCCUUCAUAUUCACUUUUCAGUCUUUCAUUUGAAAACACUACAAUAGCACACUUUCCAAAGAGAUUCCCAAGCAGCUUAUUGGCCUUUCGAGUUCGGGGAAAUUAGCAAGUGGAAAAAUAAUUUUCCGGAGCUUUGUCUCUACGACAAGUUGGCUUUCCAAAAAAUCGAAAAGACUUUACAGUCUUUUUGUGUGAGUCAGUCAUCAUGAGUUUGCAUACGAAGACUUCAAAGUCUCCUUGAUGAUAGUCGUCCACAGCAAGCUCCCAACGUUAUAAAUUACUAAGAUGGACAAAUGCUCAAUAAAAUUUAAUUAGGAUAAUUAGUUGAUUUAAGGAAUAUCUCUUUUUCUGGUGUCAUUUUUUAUUGACCGGAGAAAUAUGUGUAUCCGCAUAUCCUACAUUGAUUGUCUUAGUAAUUUCCUUUGCAUCUAAAAAAAAUUUAUUUAACCCUAAAAAAAAAAUAUUACUCCAUCUUGAAAUGUUUCCCCUUAACCUUUGCCACACUAAUCACAAAGUAUACUAGUAAAUGUUUCAAACCACGUAGGAUAAUUUUUUGGGAGAUUCACUAUUAUACCCAAUAUAAGAGUUCAAAUUUUUUUUUUAAAAAAAACCUAUAUGAAAUGGGCUUUAGAACACACCCAAAACCCAUUUACAACAUAACAAAAAAGCUUUUAACUUCUUUUAAAGUACAAAACUGUCAUUGAUUUCUUAAAACAAACUCAACCCAAAAACCUCAUAAAAAAGCUUAAAACACUCAAUAGGGUAUCAAAGUAAUUUAAUAAUCAAAAUUAAAUUAAAUAGAUCCGGCUGUCAUUUUUUGAGUUUAUUUACAAAAAUUAAAUGGUGUGGGGUUAAUUUAUAAUUUUAGUGCUAAGAAUGGGUAAAUAUUUAUAAUUUUUUCAAGCAUUAUUGUAGAGAUAGCAAUAUAGUGCUAUUCCCGUUACAAAAAAAUAUUUUUCCUUUUGAAUGAUACAUUCAUAUGUAUUUGAAAUUGAACCUACAUACACAGGGUGGUUGUCCACAUGGCAUGGUAUGAGAGCAUCAUUGAGCUAUGUCACUAUUCAGCAAAACAGUAUGUUGUGUCACCGAGCGUACACAAUUCUUUUUAUAUUAAAAAAUUAACCAAAAUUUUAAAAAUAGUAUUUUUAUUUUAUUGAAAUUAAAAAAUAGUAGUAUGAACACUACAUCUAUCAUCCUCCUUUUUCCAACAAAAGAAAUCUUAGUAGAUCUUUCUCUGCAAACUCUUCAUCAUUUCUAACUAGUCUAAUCGAACAGUCAACACCUACUUGACGUGUGGUUGUGGAGACUUAAAAGCCUUUGAAAAUUUUACUCCUUUAUAUGGUUUUGUCUUAUAUGAAUGUGUGGCACUGUUUUAGCUAAACCAUGUUUUUCUUUGUAAAAGUUUUCUUCCUUUUUUCCUAUAUAUAUAGUUAGUGUGUAAUUAUAAGACCCUAUAUAAUAUUAACCUAAAUUAUGGGGGCAUUUCAAAAUUGACUUGGUCAAUAACCAAAGUGUUUUGAAAAGCUCUCGUAUUAUAGUUGUUGAAUUAAAACCCAAUUUUCAUUUAUUAGUAUCAAUAAAUAUAUAGGUAUUAUAUUAAUAUUGGGUUGGCAAGAGAUAUUUCCAUAUGUUUCACUUAAGUCAACCUCACAUUUGCAAGAAGAUAUUUAUAACUUGUGCCCGGGGGAGGGAUGCAAAACCAAUGGUUGAGUGGACACUGGAAGGCACCUUACCAAGUCAAGUCAAGUCAAUAUCUGCAAGUCAGUUGGAGUACGCGUUGGACGGCAAAUCACCAUAUGCAGUUUAUGUCACAAGUCUUCAAUCUCAUAUAUUAAUUUCUCCAAUGUUCAUUAAUUUACUACUUGUUUACUUGGACUACUGACAAAUUUUUCUUCAAAUAUCUUUUUCCACAUAUCGACUUGAAUUAAAGUGAUGAGUCUCUCUUCCUUUUGUUCACCCGUGUCCAUAUUCACUUUUCAAUCUUUCAUUUGAAAACACUACAAUGGCACACUUUCCAAAGAGAUUCCCAAGCAGCUUAUUGGCCUUCCAAGUUUGGGGAAAUUAGCGAGUGGAAAAAAAAUUUCCGAAGCUUUGUUUCUUCGACCAGUUGGCUUUUCAAAGAAAGAAAAAACAUAAAAAUGGUAAAAUAAAGUAAUUGAGCAAUUAAAAAAGCAAAAAGAAAAAAAAAAGGAAUUACCGUUUGUUGACGUUUGAGUUAAAUGUGUAUGUGCAACGACUUAAAACUCUAGUUUACACUCUUUGUGGAACCAAAAAAUUGAAAAGGCUUACCAGUCUUUGUGUGUGUCAGUCAUCAUGAGUUUGCAUACGAAGACUUCAAUGUCUACUUGAAGAUAGCUGUCCACAGCAAGCUCCCUACCCAAAGUUACAAAUUACUAAGACGGACCAAUGCUCAAUAUGACAGGACCCACCCUGAAUUUCUCGGAACUUGAGACGAAUCCUGUGAAAAACUAGUACAUCCCUCCAAUGUCAUGCCCACUUACCAAAACUAUAGCCUCUUUUCCAAAUUAAGGAAAAAAGGUACGAGACUUUUUGCCAAAAUUUCGGCAGAGUCUCCCCUGUAAAUUGGACUUUCUCCAAAUUUUUUUAACCUAUUAAAAAUACAAUUAACAUCCACAACUAGUAGCAUGCACAACUAGUAGCAUGCACAAUUUAACCUUUAAGCAGUUUACGAACUAGGCCUCUGGCCUUUAACAAUUCAGUCAGUUGGGGCACGCGUUGGAAGACAAAUCACCACAUUAAGUCUAAGUCAAUAGUUGCGUUGAAAGGCAAAUCACCAUAUCAAGUCGAAGUCACAAGUCUUCGCGAUCUCAUCCAUUAAUUUCCCCAAUAUUCAUUGAUUUAUUACAUGUUUACUUGGACCACUGACAAUUUUUUCUUCCAUUAUCUUUUUCCACAUAGUAACAUGAAUAAGAGUUGGUUGUACCUUGUACAUUUUUUUUCUCCUUCUUUUUUGAAAUUUGGUAUAGUCCAGUUCUGAUGACAUAAGUGAAAUUGAACCUAUAUCUAAGAGCUCCUUUCAAAGAAAAAACAUAAAAAUGGUAAAAUAAUGUAAUUGAGCAAUUAAAAAAGCAAAAGGGAAAAAAAAGGAAUUACCAUUUGUUGACGUUUGAGUUAAAUGCGAAUGUGCGAAGACUUAAAAGUCUAGUUUCCACUCAAGUAUGUGGACUUAAUAGUCUUUUUGUGGAACCAGAAAAUUGAAAAGACUUUACAAUCUUUUUGUGUGAGUCAAUCAUCAUGAGUUUGCAUACGAAGACUUCAAAGUCUACUUGAAGAUAGGUCCACAGCAAGCUCCUUGCCCAACGUUACAAAUUACUAAGAUGGACCAAUGCUAAAUAGGAUUUAAUUACGAUAAUUAGUUUAUUUAAGGAAUACCUCUUUUUCACGUGUUAUUUUUUUAUUGACCGGUGAAAUAUGUGUUUCCAUAGAUCCCGCAUUGAUUGUCCUAGUAAUUUCCUUUGCAUCUAAAGAAAAUGUAUUUAACCCUAAAAAAAAUGUUACUCCAUCUUGAGACGUUUCCCCUUAAACUUGUUUGCCACACUAAUCACAAGGUAUACUAGUAAAUGUUUCAAACCACCUAGGAUAAUGUUUUCAAGCAUUAGGAGAUAGCAAAAUAAUGUUAUUCAUGUUAUAAGAAAUAUUUUUCCUUUUUGAAUGAUACAUUCAAAUGUAUUUGAAAUGGAAUCUACAUAUACGGGGUGGUUGUUCACAUGGCAUGGUAUGAGAGCAUCAUUGAGCUAUGUCACUAUACAACAAAACAGUAUGCUAUGUCACCCAAUGUACUCAAUUCUUUUUAUAUUAAAAAAUUAACCAAAAUUUUAAAAAUAGUACUUUUAUUUUAUCGAAAUUAAAAAAUAGUACUUGUAUUCCUGCAUCUUACUUUUUAACUCAUGCAUCAUAAUUAAUUUGGAAUCUAAAGUACUUAAUUUAAUUACCUCCAUAAUAAAGAGAUUCGAAUCUAAAGUGUUGAUGCUCAAAAUGGCCCGGCCAAUAUUGAGUCCAACUUAGUGAUUAGAUGUGCUGAGUCUUCAGCAGAGAAGAGGGCUGAGGCCCUUGGUGAAAUGGGUUGGUGAGAGACCUGUAGAAGGUAAAAAGAGGAGAAGCAAUCGUCAAGCUUCGGACACCGGUGUGGUGCCGGCCGAAGGCUCUCCGAUGCCUAAGUCAAUUACAAGUAGUAAUUCUGGCAGAGUAACAGUAAAAGUGGGAGAGUAGUUCUCUGUUUUACUUGGGUACUGUUCCCUAUUUAUAGGGAAGUGAAAGUGGGAGCUUUGCACAAAGUUCCAAUGUGGGACUUUGUGCAAGCCGUUGUGGUGACGACACGUGUCCUGGAGAUUAGGUUUGGCAGCUGAGAGCUUCGGCAGGUGUCUGGCACCUCGGAAGUGUGUCUUCCUUCGGCAUGGGAGAAGGCGUGGCUGCCUUGGUGCUAGUCGCUUUGAUGCUGGGUCUGCUCGGUUCAUUAUGGUGUAAACAGUAGUCCCCCAAGUUCGCGGUCGAGAAGUAACUUCUGGGUUGGGAACUUGUGAGUUUUUGUAAUUGUAACCGAGCAUUCCAGCUUCAUUGGGAGUCGCAGGGCACUCCCUAGUCCCCCAAGUUGGCAAGCUAGGAGUUGCGUCAACACAUGGUAGCUGGGUACCUGGGUACUUGGGCAUGUUGCAGAUAGGAUGGGAGCUGGGUCCCUAGGGGAGCCAGACCUUCGAGGGAGCCGGGUACUUUGAAAAUUUUGGAGACUCCAAUUCUUUCAUGGCUCCUGCCGUGCGGCAAGGGUCUAGCUCACUUUUUUUUUUUUUUGGGAAUGGCCGGGCCAUUUGGGAUUUUUGGACCUCCCCACAAAGCCUCCAUGGCCCUUGCCGUUCGGCAAGGGUCUAAAUUAUUAUUAUUAUUUUUUUUUUUUUUUUUGCAAAUUUUUUUUUUUUUUUUUUUGGGAAUGGGAGCUAGGCCAUUUUGGAUUGGGCCUUCCACAGCUUCUCCAUGGCCCUUGCCGUUCAGCAAGGGUGUAGCCAUUUUUUUUUGUUUUGGAUGGCUUGGGAGCUAGGCCUUCAAGAGAGCCGGGUCGUUUUGAAAAUUUUCGACUCUCCAAAAUGUCUCCAUGGCCCUUGCCGUUCGGCAGGGGUCUAGCUAUUUUUUGGAUUGGGAGCUAGGCCGUGUUGAGAGAGAUUGAAGGCUUAGCUUGGAUUGGGCCUUCGGCAAGUAAGAAAGGCUUGAGUUUGGCCAAAGUGGGCUUCGGCAUGUAAGAAGGCUAGGGUUUGGCCAAAGUGGGCUUCGGCAUGUAAGAAGGCUAGGGUUUUGAUAGGGGUAUAAAAAUGGGAUGAUGGUGAUGCCGUUCGGCAAGGAUCCAUUCGGCAGGUUGAGGUAGAACAAAAUUUUUUUUGAAAUCCAAACUUGCCGUUCGGCAAGUUCUUGGAGUCCCGGUCUUGGAGUCACGGCUGUGGAGUUGCUGUCCGAGGGCUCUGCAGGUGGCUGAGCUUCGGCAGGGCAGCUGGAGUUCUUGGGGGCUGAGCUUCGGCGGCAGCACGGGGGUUGUAGAACCUUCGGCAGGGUCUGGUCGAGGUGCAGUUGAGGUGCUGCGGAGAUCGAAGUGGAGCUGCGACUGAUCUUGCCGUUCGGACGAAGGGGCUGGGCAGUUGUCUAGGCAGGCUGUGCGGCGCAGCAGCUUCGGCAAGGGCUUUGCCGAUAAGACAGCUGCUGGACAAGUGGAUUGGGUGCUGGCCGAGGGGGCUGGGAAGUUGAUUCGGCAGGCGGCAGCGAGGCUGUGCUGUCCGAGGAGGUUGAAGAGCUUCCGACUGGGCUUGCCGUUCGGCAAGGGACUUGGCAGCGGCCAAGGUGUCCAGCGGUUGGAGGCUUCGGCAGGGUUUCGUCGCGGCAGCUGGUUCUGCCAGCUGGGAGAGGUGCUUGGCCAGGUCGUGUGCUUCGGUAUGUCCUCCUUUCCCUCUGAUUUCAUUCUUGCAUAGCCCUUGCCGUUCGGCAAGGGUGCCCUGAGCUGAUUUUUAUUUUUAUUGAUCGUUGUGUUUGAUCAAAGGUGAUAGGCCCGAGCAAAAUUGGAGCUAGGCCAUUGGCACGAGCGCGGCCAAAAAUAACUUGGCUGAAAAAGUAGCUGGGCCGAAAAUAGUUGGGUGUGGAGAGUAUUUUGACCGAAAAGGUGAGUCCCCCCUUUGUUGUUUCUCGGGCCUUGCCGUUCGGCAAGCCCAUUUAUAUUAUGUGGUGGAAUUGGCUUGGGUGUCUUGAUCAAAUUUGGGCCUAGCCUUGUAGUAGGUUUGGGCUUAUGGAGUAGGCUAGCAAACUUGAAAUUUGGGACUCCAUUUUGUUUUUGCACGGGCCUUGCCGUUCGGCAAGGCCCCUAUUUCCCUCAAAAUUUUUGUGUUGGUUAUUGUGUAGUUUGAAAAUUGAAUUCAAAUGUACCUUUAGGAGGGAAUAUGAAAGGGUACUAGGGUUUGCUCGUGAAAUUGAGGCGUGGUACCCUUAGUUGGCUAUAAAAAGGAACUUGGGUGGUGAAGGCAUCACACUUGGCUUGAGUUGAGAAAAAUUGUGAGAAUUUUGAGGAGGAGGAGAAGAGAUUUCCGGCGAAGGUUUUGUGGUGGUGCUUGUGGCUGAGGUGAUUUCCGGGGACUUGUACGUGGUGGUACGAACAAGGUUAGACCUUAUUUCGCUUGAACUUUUGAAUUGAAAUGUCUUGUUUUGCAUGAACAUGUUGAAGGUUAGGAAGAACACAUUGAACAUGAGCAUGAACAUGAUGAACAUGUUGAACAUAUGUAUGAACAUGUAGAAUUCUUGCCUGGCAUGAAGAUUUGGCAAAUUGUUGUUGUUGUGGUUCGAUCCUCUCUGCAUGUGCAUUUAGUUCCUUCUCUUGUUUUUCCAUACUUGUAGAUGUCUGAAAGUUCUGAUAGGGAAAGUCUUGACCCCCCUGCCUUCGGCGGGGAUGAUACUGAGAGUCAAGAGCCGAGUCAAUAUAUAUGUUCUGAAGAGGAAAGUUCAGAGACAGAGGGUAUGGUGGAAGGAACCAUAGAAAGUAGGAUGAUAGGGCCUGGGGGUGAGAGGGCUGAGCCAUCGGGAGACUCUGGGUCGGCUGCAUAUAGGGAGAUGCAGAGAAAUUAUAUAGAGUUAGAGGCUAUAGCAAAUCGGGUUCUAGCCUUGCCUCAGACGCAAGAAGUGGGUUCGAGCAACCAGGCAUCACCAUCAGGGUCUGUGGGUAUAGCCGUGGCUUCGGUGUCAGAGGGAUUAGACAUCCGGGUUGGUGUCCCGUUGCCGAGGCGGAAUACACUUACAGAAGCGAAAUUGGCCCAGCUACGAACAGAUUUUUGUGUGCCAGCCUAUGUGGGCUUGAGGUUACCCACGGAGGUUGAUGUAGUCAGAUAUCCUUCGGAUGGCUCCGUGAUGAUUUUUACAGAUAUGUAUCGGCAUGGCUUCAGACUACCGUUUCAUCCGUGGGUUCAGAUGAUGUUGGCCAAGUUGGGGUAUGCACCGGGGCAGUAUAAUCCCAACUUUUGGAUUCUUCUUCAUGGGGUGUAUAUCGCCUGGUGGUUGGCUGGGUUAGGGGAGCCAACGUUUGAGCAGUUCAUGUACCUGUACUCCAUUUCGAAGCAACAGGGGAAUUUUGGCUGGGUACAGGCCAAUUGCCGAAAGGCGAAGGAGAGGGGCUAUUUUAUUGGACACAAGCCCACAACGCAAAAGUCCUGGAGGAACAGGUGGUGCUUGGCCUAUGGGGACUGGGAAUGUCCUCCAGGGAAGAGCGUUGUCCAGCACAUUCCUACCCACUUCCAGUCUAUAGGUCCUUGCCCCAUCCCUUAAGAUUGUCAAAUGCCUGAUUGUGUUGUUUUGGCUCCUAUUUUUGGUUCUGUACUUCCUUUGUGCCAGUGUAAAUGGCUAAGUAGUUUCUAACUCUUGAUGCAGGUUCAGUGAAGUGGGGCCCUAUCUCCAAGGAGCAAGAAGACGAAGUUGAGUGGGUGAGGGCGCAGCUAUCAGAGACUGAGCGUGAGUGCGGGAACCUAGUCACGCAGAAGAAUUUGUUUGAGUCCGGACUGCUGCAAGGAAGUAAGUACCUGGGUUAUCUUUUUGUUGUGUGCUAAGCCUGUUGUAAGUUUGAGUAAUAGAGUUGCUUUGUUUGUUUUGACAGUGGCUGGCAUCAUAAGGGGGAGCACGAAGGUGGCCGUAGACAUUGAUGAGGCCGAGAUGCAGAAGCGGCUGAGGGAGUCUCGGGCCAAGAAAGCUGAGAAAAUUGCUGGGAAACGACCCAGGGAUGAUGAUGAGGGUCGGGUCGCGGACGUGCUGGGGAAGAGGAAGGCUUUGGAGGAGGCUCAUCAGCAUGUGAUGGGGUCAGGGCCGAGGCUUCCGCCCUUUGAUCUGCAGGCACCGCCGAAGCUACCCUUCGGCAUGGAGGAUGUGUUCGCUGAAGGGGUAGAGAAGGUAGACUUCGGCAGGCUACGCCAGCAGAAGAAGGAGGUCAACCUGGCUAUGCACCGGCAGGAGGUGCCCUUAGUGAAAGUCUUCCUGGAAGGCGUGAAGAGCGACCCUGAGGCUCUGGCGAGGACUCCAGCUGCUUCCUUCAUUGACCGGGCCCAAAAGACGAUCCUCACCUCUGCCUAUGUAAGUGUUUAGGCCAUUUUUGAAUGUAUUUGUGUUGGAUUAUUUGUGUGGAUUGACUAACAUGGUUUUGGUUUUGCAGGCCUUUGGCGAGAUGUACGUCAGCAUGGCCAAGGCUGACAAGGAGAUCCAGAGGCUGAAGAGGCGGGAUGAGCUAGCCAAGAGCAAAAUGGCAGAGGCGCAGGAGGCCAUCCGAGAGAAGAACACCUUGCUGGUUCAGAAGGCGGCCCUGGCCAAGGAGGUGGAGGAGCUGAAGAGAUCUAGGGCCGAGGAGGUGGCUGCUGCCCGAGCCGAGGCGAUUGAGUCCUUCCGAUCCUCAGAGGAGCUGAAGAGCUAUAUCAUGGACCGACUGGUUGAUGAGCAGCUUCGCUGGGAAGAUAGGUUGGUUAGGUUCAACCCCUCACUGGAGAUUAACUUUGACACCAGUGGCGAGCCUCCUGCACAGACCCCUCCUGCUGAUGCUAGCGCCCCGACACGAGAGGCUGAGCCAGCCACUGAGGAUGCUCCUUCGACCGAGUCCUGAAGGCGUUGCCUUCGUGAUGUGUUAUAGCUAUUUUGUACUCUAGUGAUUGUGUUUGAACACUUGUUUGUUUUGUUUACUUUGGUUAUGUAUGAACAUUUGUCCUUGCCUGGAGCAAGGCUGUUUUUAUUUAUGAUAUGAACUUAGCUUGAUAUCAAUUGUGUUAACAAUGAUAACAAUGUGAGUUCAUGAGAAUGAGCCUGAGUCAGGCAUUUUAUUGAAAUAGAUGCCGAAAGGCAGAAGGUACAAGUGGUCUAGGGUCUAGAUACCUUACGUCUAACUUACAGUAAAUAAUCAAGACCAAAGUAUUAUCCUAGGGUCUAGAUAUGUUUACUUGUAAUAGUACUUGAGGUGGUCAGCAUUCCACGGGUGAGGCAGCGUCUUGCCUGAGGAAUCACGAAGCUGAUAAGUGCCGGGGCAGCAGAUUUUGAUAAUCUCAUAAGGACCUUCCCAUGUAGGGCCGAGGGUACCCUCGUUGGGAUUUUUGGUAGCCAAGGAAACCUUGCGCAUGACCCAGUCCCCCAUUUUGAAAGCACGGGGCUUGACUCGGGAGUCAUAGUAUUUGGCGAUGCGUUGCUUGUACGCGGCAUUGCGCAUGCUUGAUUGGUCCCGGAGUUCGUCAAUGAAGUCGAGGUUGAGGGCCAACUGCUCGUCAUUGGCCGUGGCAUCGUAAGUGGAGGUUCGGUAUGUGGGCUGGCCAAUCUCUACCGGAGCCACGGCCUCGGUUCCAAAUGAUAGGGAGAACGGCGUUUCACCCGUGGAUGUGCGGAAGGUGUUGCGGUAGGACCAGAGUACUUCUGGGAGUAGUUCUGGCCAGCAGCCCUUGGCUUUGUCAAGUUUUGUCUUGAGGGUCUUCUUGAUAAUUUUGUUCACGGUUUCGACCUGGCCAUUGGACUGAGGAUGGGCUGGGGAGGCGAAACACAGACGAAUCUUGAGGUUCGAACAAAAUUGUUUGAAUUUGGCGUUGUCAAAUUGCCGGCCAUUGUCGGUGAUGAUGGAGUUGGGGAUGCCGAAGCGACAUACAAUGUUUUGCCACACAAAGGAUUCGAUGCGAGCCGCAGUGAUGGUGGCCAAGGCCUCGGCCUCAGCCCACUUGGUGAAGUAGUCUACGGCCACAACAGCAUACUUGACUUGGCCCUUGCCCUCUGGCAUCGGUCCGAUGAGAUCCAGUCCCCAUUGGGCAAAUGGCCAAGGACUGACCAUGGCCGUCAGUGGUUCUGCCGGGAGUUGUGGAAUGUUGGCGAAUCUCUGACAUUUGUCGCAUUUUUGGGUGAAGGCCUGGGCGUCAGUGUGGAGUGAAGGCCAGAAAUAUCCUUGGCGGAUUGCCUUAUGAGCUAACGAGCGUGCGCCCGAGUGGUUGCCGCAGAUGCCUUCAUGGAUUUCUCGGAGGACAUAGUGACCCUCCUCUGGAGUCAGGCAUCGGAGGUAAGGAAGGCUGAAACCCCGCUUGUAUAAGGAGCCAUUAAUGAUCAGGUAACGGGCAGAGCGAUGGCGAACGCGUCGUGCUUCUGCCGGAUUAGCCGGUAGUGUUUGGUUUUGUAAGAAUUGGAGGAUGGGGUCCAUCCAUGUAGGGCUGUGAUCAAUAGUGCAGAUGAGUGGGGCUUGUGUGCUGGGCUGGGCCAAAAACUCGAUGUGGAUGUGGCGACCCAGUCCUUGCUCCAAGGCUGAUGCCAACCUGGCUAGUGCAUCGGCAUGGCUAUUCUCGGAGCGCGGCACCUGCCUGAUAGAGUGGGCUUGGAAGUUUGCCAGCAAGUGCCGAGCUUGCUGGAGGUAGGCCGUCAUAGAGGCAUCCUUAGCCGUGAAGUCCUGGUUGACCUGGUGGACCACAAGUUGUGAAUCGCUGAAUAUCUGAAUUUGCCUGGCGUCCAUCUCUUUGGCUAAUCGAAGACCAGCUAAGAGUGCUUCAUAUUCGGCCUCAUUGUUGGAGGCUUGGAAUUUGAAGCGAAGGGCGUACUCGAGGGCAACCUUGUCUGGGGAGAUGAGAACGAGGCCGGCCCCACAGCCCUGGGCAUUAGAAGAGCCGUCUACGAAUAAGGUCCACAGGGGCUGGGUUAGGUCGAGAUUGCCUUCGGUGGGGGUUUGGUCCUGGCUGGGAGGGGGGUUGGGUUCGAUUAUGAGCUGGGUAGCUGCGGAAGCUUGGGGAUCCGUGAAUUCGGAUAGGAAGUCAGCAAUGGCCUGGCCCCUCAUAGCCGGGCGGGGUUUGUAGUGAAUAUCAAACUCGCCCAGUUCAAUGGCCCAUUUGACCAGCCUCCCAGAGGUUUCUGGGUUCUGCAACACCUGUCGGAGCGGGUGGUUGGUUAAGACAUGGAUGGUGUGAGCUUGGAAAUAUGGUCGGAGGCGUCUUGCCGAGACGACCAGGGCGAAUGCCAAUUUUUCGAUGUCCGGGUAACGAACUUCGGCAUCUUGCAAUGCUUUACUAACAUAAUGCACUGGGUGCUCCGCGUGAUCUUUUGAUCGGAUAAGCACAGAGCUAACAGCCGAAGCUGAGAUGGAGAGAUAAAUCACGAGGAUGUCUCCGUGCUCAGGGGUUGACAAUAAAGGGGCCCGACCCAUAUACUCCUUCAGCUCGCUGAAAGCCGUGUCACAUUCAGCAGUCCAGGUCAUGUUUCUUUUGGUGCCUUUAAGGGCCUUGAAGAAUGGGGCGCAACGGUCAGUGGCUUUGGAGAUAAAUCUGGUCAGGGCUGCGACACGCCCUGUAAGGCUUUGGAUAUCCUUGGCCGUCUUAGGUAUUGUCAUAUCUAAGAUGGCCUGGAUCUUUUCUGGAUUGGCCUCAAUGCCCCUCUGGCUGAUCAUGAAGCCAAGGAAUUUUCCGGAAGCCACCCCGAAUGCACAUUUGGUGGGGUUAAGCCUCAUUUUGUAUUGCUUCAGAAUGGUGAACAUGGCAGAGAGGUUGGGGAUGUGCUGGUCAGCCGUGCGACUCUUGACUAGCAUGUCAUCGACAUAGACCUCCAUGGUAUUGCCAAUCAGGGGGGCAAAGAGCUGAUUCACCAGACGCUGAUAAGUGGCCCGGCGUUUUUGAGGCCGAAGGGCAUCACCUUAUAGCAGUAGAGGCCGCGGUCCGUAAUGAAAGAGGUGUGUGCCUGAUCUUCGGGGUGCAUGAAGAUCUGGUUGUAACCUGAAUAAGCAUCCAUGAAGCUAAGGAGGGCGUGGCCGGCUGUGGCGUCGACUAGCUGGUCAAUGCGGGGUAGCGGGAAGCUGUCCUUUGGGCAUGCCCGAUUAAGGUUGGUGUAGUCGACACACAUGCGCCAGCCCUUUCUUGGCUUGCGGACCAUCACGACAUUGGCCAGCCAUGUGGGAUAGUCAACCUCCCUGAUGAAUCGGAUACUACUCAAUCGAUCCACCUCCGCCUUCAUGGCCUCAUAGCGCUCGGGAUCAUAGGCUCGACGCUUCUGUCGGACUGGUCGGACGGCAGGAUUGACGCUAAGCCUAUGAGAUAUGAUGUCUGGUGAUAUGCCAGGCAUGUCAUUGUAGGACCAAGCGAAGACUUCGGAGUUGAGGCGGAGGAAGGCGACCAGGUCAGAGCGAAGCUCUGGUGAGAUGGAGGUGCCGAUCCGGACUUGUCGAUCCGGGAUAUCGUCAUGGAGGGUAACCAGCUCCAGGUCCUCCAUAGGUUCGGCCUGUGGUGCGAUGGACUCCUCCCUGGGGUCUUCAGGUGGGUCUGUGCCAGCUUGAGGAGGGGCGGGAGCCUGGGUUACUGCUAGGGCUUCACUCCUAUGUUGGCGAUUGGUGGAUUUGAUGGCUGAAGCAUAGCAGCUUCGGGCUCCGAGUUGGUCGCCGCGCACCGUGCCUGGGCCAUUAGGAGUGGGGAACUUCAACAGCAGUAUAUGCGUGAAAAUAAAAGCCUUCAUUUGGGCCAAGGCUGGGCGGCCGAGGAUGACGUUGUAGGCUGUGGGGCAAUCGACGAUAAGGAAGGGGGUAGUGAUCGUCGUCCGCUGGGGUGCGGCCCCAAUUGAGAUGGGGAGAUGAAUGCUGCCAAUGGGCUGGACCACAUCACCCGAGAAGCUCACAAGGGGUGUGAUGCUUCGGUCGAGUAGGUGAGGCGGGACCUGGAGUUCAUUGAAGCACUCGGCGAACAUCACACUGACCGAGCUGCCAGUGUCCACCAGGAUACGCCCAACGUCGAAGUUAGAAAUGUCAGCCCGGAUAAUAAGUGGAUCGUCAUGGGGGAGGAUAACACCACGCUCCUCCUCCUCGCAGAAGGUAAUGGGGGCCCAGCCAGUCCUGUGGGUCUUUGGCAAUCGUCCCUGCUCGGUGCUGAAGACCUGGUGCGCAUAGGUGGAGCGGACAUAAUGUUUGAUGGAGUUGUUGGAGGUGCCAGCCAGGGUAGGACCUCCGCUGAUGGUGGAGAUCAUGUUGAUUUGUCGUUGGUGAGGGUUAGGCGGGGCUGGUAUGUUGCGCACAUAGUUGUCCAGCUUACCUUCCCGGAUGAGCCCUUCAAUUAUGUUGCGCAAGGCAACACAAGAUUCGGUGUCAUGGCCGCUGAAUUGAUGAAAGCGGCAGAAGACCCCCGUGUUUGGCAUAGGCUUGUUGGAUGGUCUCCGGGGGGGUGGCUUGGGGAUGAUGGGGGCUUCACGUGCCAGGACGUUCUCAUAGGUGGUGUUGAGGGUCGUAAAAACCUCAAACCUGGGCCUGGGUGCGAAUGGAAGUGGGGCCCGAUCACCAGGCCUGGGAGGGUUGCUUCCACUAGAUUGAUGGGGGUUGCCAUGUCUGCCACGUUUGUGAUUGCCGAAGGGAUGCUGGUAGCUAUCCUUCCGCUUAUGUGGUUGGUUGUCCUGGGCAAUCGGGGCAGGGGUAGAAUGCUGAGGUGGGGCUGGGGCGGGUGCUGAAGCCGGUGGAGGGUCGGCGAAAGUGUUGCGCGCCAAGUUGGCUGGGCCACGCUUGGAAUUGAAGUAUUCAGCCUUAGCGUGGAUCGCCGCCUGCUUCAUCAGCUCUGCAUAUGUGUUCCAACUGUUGCUAUGAACCAGGUAGCGGAAGUUGGACUCGCGGAGGCCGCUCUUAAAAGCGCCGAAGGCAGCGCGAUCGUCAGUGUCUGGGCAGCGAGAGUAUUCAUGACUGAACCGAGCUGCAUAUUCCCGAAGGGGUUCGUCCUCAGCCUGCCUAAGCAUAUACAAGUCGUCGGCAGAGUAUAGGCGAUCAGUCUGGAUCAUAAAAUGGUCCAGGAACGUCUGCUUGAGACUAUCGAAGGAGUUGAUGGUGCAGGGGUGGAGCCUGUAGAACCAAUUCAGGGCCGCGCCGCUGAGGGUGGAAGGGAAAAGGAGGCACAUGCCUUCAUCAGUGAGGCCUUUGCACCCAAGGGCAGACUGGAAGGAGUGGAUGUGGGUGAGAGGGUCCUCCGUGCCAGUGUAGAAAGCGAUGCGGAGGGGCUGGAUAUCUUUCUCCUGGUGGUAGUGGAGGAUGCGUUCAGUAAAGGGCCCUGGUCGUGGUUUUGCCCAGAGGGGUUGAUGGCUGCGUUGUUGUUCGCUUUCCAAGCGCCGGACCUUUUCGAAGAGAAGCCUCAUGGCCGGGUCGGCAUGAGGAAGAGUUUCAGGCGCCAAAGGCCUGGGGGCGGGGCAGACAGGGACUGGGGAUUGUUCCCAAUUUUCCAGCGCCCCGGUGUGGUAAUUUGGCCAGGUCUCCGAAUUAUAAAAGUCCCAAGUAUCCGAGUCCCCGACACCUUCCUCGUCGGGUAUGCGGACGGGGGCUGGCGAAGGGCCCGGGUGUGUCACCCGUGGGUCUUCGAGGUUGACAGGGAUAGGGAUCGGCCUUGGCUGGCGGUCCGAGAGGCGAUCCCUGCAAUCUUGGUAGAUCCUGACUGGUUCAUGGGGCCGGUCCCUCGGUGGGGGAACGCAAAGGGGUCGUGACUGGGCUAUCUCCGGAUGAAGGUGGUCCUUACCCUUGCGGAGCCUAGCCUGGGCCGAGGCACUGUGGCUGGAAUGUACCGGCUGGUUCGGCUGAGUAGGCCCAACGUUCUGGGUGAGGUCUUGCGGGGCAUCCUGGGUGUGAGUCCUUUCCCAGUUCCGCUUUAAAACACGGUAGUCAUGUUCUAGCUCAAUGUUCCUGCAAUGAAGGUGGUCGUAUUUUUCCGACAUUUUAGUGACACUGUCGCGGAGACGCUCCACUUCUGCCUGGAGAGUGGCAUCUUCCGAAGAUCUCCUUCUAGAAGUACCAUCGCGGGGGGUAUGAUGCUGGGUAUCGCGGCUAUCCUCGGUCGGCAUAGCAGAAUGUGGGGUGAAGAAGAGGCGACGGGGCCUGAGGGGUGAAGGAGCCAGCUGGGCUGAUAGAGAAAGAGGGGAUUCAAGUGUCGAUUUCCCACAGACGGCGCCAAACUGUUGAUGCUCAAAAUGGCCCGGCCAAUAUUGAGUCCAACUUAGUGAUUAGAUGUGCUGAGUCUUCAGCAGAGAAGAGGGCUGAGGCCCUUGGUGAAAUGGGUUGGUGAGAGACCUGUAGAAGGUAAAAAGAGGAGAAGCAAUCGUCAAGCUUCGGACACCGGUGUGGUGCCGGCCGAAGGCUCUCCGAUGCCUAAGUCAAUUACAAGUAGUAAUUCUGGCAGAGUAACAGUAAAAGUGGGAGAGUAGUUCUCUGUUUUACCUGGGUACUGUUCCCUAUUUAUAGGGAAGUGAAAGUGGGAGCUUUGCACAAAGUUCCAAUGUGGGACUUUGUGCAAGCCAUUGUGGUGACGACACGUGUCCUGGAGAUUAGGUUUGGCAGCUGAGAGCUUCGGCAGGUGUCUGGCACCUCGGAAGUGUGUCUUCCUUCGGCAUGGGAGAAGGCGUGGCUGCCUUGGUGCUAGUCGCUUUGAUGCUGGGUCUGCUCGGUUCAUUAUGGUGUAAACAUAAAGUAUUAGGAAUUUUCUUUAGCACCUUGACAUUCAAUUUUCUCUAGUCUCAUUAUGAUUGACGUGUGAUUUCCAUAACAUUAAUUAUGCAUUGUAUAUAGCAGAUAAUUUACUCCUUUAUAUGGUUUUGUCUUGUAUGAUUGUGUGGCUUUCUUCCUUUUUUCCUAUAUAUAUCUGAUGCAAGCUAGCAUAUAUCAAUAUACACUUGCAGUGUUUUUGCAUGUGCAUGUGCUUUUGAUCAAUUAACAUGAAGGGCGACGGAAGGUGCUUGAAACUCUUUCUUGCAUUAUCGAUCCUUUUCCUACAAAACGUAAAAGGAGGAGAAGUUGGCCACAGCCACAACCACAGCCACAGUCACAGCCUCAGAGAUGCUAAAGUGACAGUGAGGUGCAUAGAGAGGGAAAGGCAAGCACUACUUGCAUUCAAACGUGGCCUGGUGGAUGAGUUCAAUCUACUCUCAACUUGGGGUUCAGAAGCCGAAAAACAAGAUUGUUGCAGAUGGGAAGGAGUCUAUUGUAGCAACCAAACUGGCCAUGUGAUUCAACUUCAUCUUGGAUAUUCUUUCCUUGAUGAGAUGUUUCAACCUGCUUUUGAAUAUUCUUUCCAAGGUAAGAUGAUUAGUCCUAAACUGAUUGAGUUGCAGCAUUUACAAUAUUUGCACCUUGCAUCCAUUGAUUUCAAUGAGAGCCAAAUUCCUGAUUUCAUUGGUUCUCUAACCAAUCUAAGAUACCUCAGUUUCCAUUCCUGUCAUUUGGUUGGUCAAAUUCCAAGUUCGUUUGGAAACCUCACGCAAUUGCAAUAUCUCGACCUCAGCUAUAAUUAUCAGCUUCAACCAGAAAAUCUCAAUUGGCUCGUUGCUCUUUCUUCUUUAACGGAUUUGGGCCUUGCAUCCUUUGAUUUCAAUUGGAGCCAAAUUCCAGAUUUCAUUGGUUCUCUAACCAAUCUAAGAAACCUCAAACUCUCUUCCUGUAAUUUGGUUGGUCCAAUUCCAAGUUCGUUUGGAAACCUCACACAAUUGCAACAUCUCGACCUCGCCAAUAAUCAGCUUCAACCAGAAAAUCUCAAUUGGCCCCCCGCUCUUUCUUCUUUAACAGAUUUGGACCUAAGCGGAAACAAUCAAAAUACUGUUUUGGACCUUGCAUCGAUUGAUUUCAAUGGGAGUCAAAUUCCAGAUUUCAUUGGUUCUCUAGCUAAUCUAAGGUACCUCAGUCUCAGUUCCUGUAAUUUGGUUGGUCAAAUUCCCAGUUUGUUUGGAAACCUCACGCAAUUGCAACAUCUCGACCUUAGCGGUAAUCAUCUUCAAGCAGAAAAUCUCAAUUGGCUCCCUGCUCUUUCUUCUUUAACGUAUUUGGACCUAAGCGGAGCCAAUCUCAGUACUGUUUUCGAUUGGCCAGAAGCAGUACUUAAUAAGCUCCCUAAACUAGAAGAGUUGACCUUGGUGAACUGUAGUCUUCCUCCUCCUCCUCCUCCUCCUCCUACUCUUUACAAAACAAAUUCUUCUACAUCUCUUGCGUAUGUUGAUCUCUCUGACAACCAUCUCACUUCUUCAAUAUUUCUUUGGUUGUCCAACUACAGUACAAGCCUUGUUGCUCUUGGCCUCUCCAACAAUCAUCUAUCUGGUUUCAUUCCCAAUUUCAUUGGAAACAUGAGCUCUCUUGUGGAUCUGGAUCUCUCUGAUAACCAGAUUAAAGGAGCGAAUCCAAAUUCGUUUGCAAGGCUGUGUAAUUUGCAAACAUUGCAGCUUCAAAGAAAUCAUCUGAGUGGACAAUUAUCUCAACUAUUGCCUAGAUGUGCUCAAAACUCAUUAGAGGAAUUGUACCUCUCUAAUAAUGUUCUUGCGGGGUCAUUAAACAAUCUUACAAGCUUCUCAUCUUUGGAAGUCUUGCAUCUUAGCGCCAAUCAAUUAAGCGGAAAAAUACCUGAAAGUGUUGGGCAAAUGUCCCAACUGUAUGACAUUGAUUUCAGCAUGAACUCUUUGGAAGGGGUGGUUUCAGAAACUCAUUUCUCAAAACUCUCCAAAUUAGAAUAUUUGGAUUUAUCCUCUAACUCACUAGUUUUAAACUUUAGUUCUAAUUGGGUUCCUCCCUUCCAGUUGAGAUACAUAAAUUUGACGUCCUGCAAGGUCGGUCCCCUUUUCCCAAAAUGGCUUCAAACUCAAAAACAUUUUUCCCUGCUUGAUAUUUCUAAUGCUGGAAUAUCUGAUAGCCUUCCAAGUUGGUUUUGGAGUAAUUUUCGUAGCGCAGACAUUAUUAAUCUCUCACAGAAUCUAAUCAGAGGAAUACUUACAAAUUUGACAGCAGAAUUUCCAUUUUACGCAGAACUACAUUUAAGUUCGAACCAAAUAGAAGGUCCAAUUCCCUCAAUUCUAUCACAAGCCUCAUAUCUGGAUCUCUCUAAUAAUAACAUUUCAGGGUCGCUUUCUUUCCUAUGUGCAAGUGCAGAUAUGAGUUAUCUUAAUCUUUCAAGCAACAGUUUUUCUGGAGAACUUCCGGAUUGCUGGAGCCAUUUGGAGAAUAAUCUAGUCAUGCUUGAUUUGAGUAACAACGCUUUUUCCGGAAAAAUUCCCAUGACAAUAGGCUCUUUAUUUCAAAUGCAAACUUUGAAAUUAAGAAGCAACCGAUUUGUUGGAGAAUUGCCUUCAUCGUUGAAGAACUGCACAAGUUUAGAGGUUAUUGAUCUGGGAGAUAAUAAAUUAUCAGGACCAAUACCUACAUGGUUAGGUGUGAGCUUCAAUAAUUUGGUUAUCCUGAUGCUUUCCUCUAAUCACUUCAAUGGAAGCAUGCCCUCGCAAUUAUGUCAUCUAACACGAAUUCAAAUUAUGGAUUUUUCUGUGAACAACAUCUCUGGAAGCAUACCCAAAUGCCUCAACAAUUUGACUACUCUGGCUCAAAAAGGAAAUCCAAGUCUAUCCAGUAGACAUUCUUAUACGAGACUUAUGGGUAAUAACACAGCUGCUAGUGCUAAUUAUGAGGAUGAUGCAAGCUUCAUAUGGAAAGGAAGAAUGCAGACAUACAAAAGCACUUUGGGACUUGUGAAAAGAAUUGAUCUCUCAAGCAAUAGAUUAACAGGGGAGAUUCCAAGUGAAAUCACUCAUCUUGUUGAGUUGGUUUCUUUAAACCUUUCAAGAAACCGGUUAACAGGUCAAAUAACUCCAGAGAUUGGAAAUUUGCAGUCAUUGGAUUCUCUUGAUUUGUCAAGAAACCAGAUAGAUGGAAGAAUUCCGACAAGCCUUGCUCGGAUAGAUCGUCUUAGUUUCUUGGACCUGUCAUAUAACAACUUGUCUGGCAAAAUACCAACAGGCACUCAGCUCCAAAGCUUUGAUCCCCUUGAUUAUGCUGAAAAUCCUCAACUAUGUGGACCUCCACUUAAAAAGAUGUGUGCUGAUCAAAAUGAGCCAUUGAGCAAUGAAGAGGAUAAGGAUGAGUUUAUAACACUGGGAUUUUACAUCAGUAUGGGGAUUGGAUUUGCUGCUGGAUUUUGGGGAGUUUGCGGCACUUUGAUAUUCAAUAGGUCAUGGAGAUAUGCAUACUUGAAGUUCUUGAAUGGUUUAAAUGAUUGGCUCUAUGUGAAGAUAGCUUUGAGCAAGCGGCAACUAAAGCUAGCAUAUGCUUAGUAGAUAAGCUCGCAACGGUACUCUCUCAUUCAUCAUUAAUUUUGUUUUAUAAUUAUUUUUCUUAUUGCAUUUUUUCCUUUUCUCCAUACUGACGGGUAUUAGUUUGUUUACUUUGAUAUUUAGCUGCAGCAUCUAAAUUAGGAGAAAAGUAGUUGUAGCUGAAUGCCUUCUUUCAGUUCAAGUGUGGAAGAUUGCCAGUAGCCGCACGCACAAGUAUCUGGAGAAGAGUUUACGAGUUAAUUUGGAGUGCUUAGUAGGAAUAAAUAUUAUUCAUAUUAGUGUUAAUUACUUGUCAGAAUAAUUAAUUCGGAAUUCUCCAAUUAAUGUUUUUUAAUAUAUUUGUUAUAGAGAAAUAAACAGAUCCAUUUUAAUCCAAGCUCACUCCGAUUAAUGUAUUAAUUCCAGCUAUAAUGUUAUUUUAAUGAACUAAGCCAAAGCCAAAGCGGACUUGAUUUCAAAUUACAAUGUGUGGCUCUGUUUUGGUCAUCUAUUUGCAACGUACAGCUUCUCCUUGUAAAUGCGUGGCUUUGUUUUGGUCAUUCUUUCCUUUCAUAAUUCAACAUCUUGUUCUGGAUUCCUUUUUGUAAACAGACUUUUUGUAUUUGGUCUAUUUUGUGGAUUUUAAGAUUGUGUUAGGCUUACUUGUUAGCUGCAAAAUGCCUUGUACCAAAACUAAAUGGUUUAUCCAUACUCUUCUUGGCUUCAAGCUGAUAUCUCCUAAAGUAGAAAUGAAGAAAUAAAAUAGCUUCUAAAUUACACGAGAUUCUACCCCCAGCUUGCUUGCAGUAUAUGAUACACAUAUCUAGCACGUUGAAUCCAUACAGAAAAACCAAAAGCAGCAUAUGAUACACAUAUCUUGCACGUCUCUUGCUAAGACGCCAAGAGUUAGGUUCACGGUAUCUAUCAUAUAGCGGUUCAAUACGUUCUUGACGCUUGCGCUUGCUCAUCUUGGUGGGAUCUGCCACUUUGAAGAACCUGGGUGCCAGUUCCGCGAGCCAUCUGGGGUCAACGACUGUCACCUCGCGCAUGUACUCCUUUGUGGUCAUAACCAGCUCCUGGUAGAUCACCCAAUCUGGUUGUCUCUGGAAGAGGGCGCUGCUUGGGUGUAUAUAAACUGGUUGGUUCUCCACUAGGGUUCUAUAACCCUCCUGCGGGUCCUUUCUAGCACCGUGGAAGAAAAACCCUGCUGUAAUUGCCUUCCUGAUCUUUGUAAAAUUCUUUCCAGCACUGACAACAUCUAGUUUAUACCUGAAAUUCACAAUCUAUAGUCAGAAUGCAAUUUCAUCUUCAAAUCAGAAAACUUAGAAAUCUUUGAUCACUGUUAUAAACUAAAGCAACCGGUGCUAGUAGAGACAUUGGCAUGACAAACUUAUGCUAAGUUUUUAUACACAAUCUUUAUAAUAAUCUAUCCUAGAACUUACAUGACAAUGCUAUGUCAAUCAAAGAAAUCUGUUAAUGGCGAUGGUAGGAUGUGUAAUAUGCCAUCUGAAUUUCCAUAUCAACUUAUAAAACAGUUUUGCAAUAUUUUGUACAAACAACACUUUACCAAGAAAAACAAUUCCAGUAUCAAAAUGACUAACAUGUCAGCACAAGAGAGCACAUUUGAAGAGCAUAUACUGGCAAUUUAGCUAUACACAAGAGUAGUUAUAAUUUAUAAAGAUACUAUACUUAACCAUUGAAAAAAUGGGAAAAAAGCACUUCUGCUAAUAAUGCUCGGAAAACAGUGUAUGUAACAUCAACAUGAGUCAUGACAACUCGUAAUGACCUAUUCAAUGCUCAGGUAUCAUAUAUCAAGAUUUUAAAACACAAACUAGGCCUGAACAACAUUUCAGCAUUUCCAUCAAGUACAGACAGCAAAAGGCGUGCCUAAUUCACGACUACUGCAAAAAUACAAUGUACCAAACAUAAGAAAACCUAGAACAUUAAUCUACAUCUUUUAAAACCAUUCAUGCACAUGUGAAACCAGAAAAAAAAUCCAUGCAGCCACGAAUACACAUCAAGAUAAAUUAGAAGAACAUACUUGUCCAUGAUGCUGAGAAGCUGUUUUCUGACAUCCUGUGCCCUCCUCAAGGAUCGAGACUGAACAAAGUUCUCAAAACACCAUGGCCCUGAAAAAUUCUUAGCUUUCCAUGCCUCAUAGACUGCAAGUAAAGUCAGAUGAUCUCCUUCUGGCUGGAAAAACUUGGCUCUCUUCUGAUCUGCCUGGGCUUGUUUUUCCCUAGGCCUGUAAAAAAUAUUACCAGUCUGAAUCAUUGCAAUGAUGGUCAAGAUCUCAUCACUGCAUCCAAGGUCGACACUGCCCAGUAGCAUCUUAGACAAGGUGGAUCCAGAGGAAACUCAGCCAUUUUCCUACCCAAUUUGGUGAGCAGCCCCUCCUCAUCCAGUGCUCCUAAACUGUACAAUUGUUCCAUGGCAGAAAUGAGUGCUUGGGGUGAAGGAGGAUCCAUAAAAUCAAAAGACAAGAGAUCAUUUAUCCCCAUAGCUUUCAUCGUAAGUGAAGUUGUCCCAAGAUUUAUCCUCUGGAUUUCUGGAAUUGAAGUAGGGGACAUCUCAUUGCGGUAUGCACUCUCAGUGUAGAGGCGGUAACAUUUCCCAGGGCCUGUACGCCCAGCGAACCCAGCUCGUUGCUUGGCUGAUGCUUGGGAAAUUGGAGUUAUGACAAGUGAAUCUAGGCCCUGCUUUGGGUUAUAAACAUUUUGCUUUGCAAAACCAGGAUCAAUGACAUAAAAUAUCCCAUCAAUGGUCAGUGAUGCCUCAGCAAUAUUAGUAGCCACAACUACUUUCCUC